RNAcentral lists this ribosomal RNA (353 nucleotides) under uncultured Anaerolineaceae bacterium. RNAcentral's name for it is "bacterial SSU rRNA". It matches the Rfam family "Bacterial small subunit ribosomal RNA", at positions 1013 to 1382 of the family's 1533-position model. The record is from RNAcentral. Lineage: Bacteria; Bacillati; Chloroflexota; Anaerolineae; Anaerolineales; Anaerolineaceae.
GACCUUCGGGAGCUUGUACAGGUGCUGCAUGGCUGUCGUCAGCUCGUGUCGUGAGAUGUUCGGUUAAGUCCGCUAACGAGCGCAACCCUCGCUGUGUGUUACAAGUGUCACACGGAACUGCCGGUCAUAAACCGGAGGAAGGUGGGGAUGACGUCAAGUCAGCAUGGCCUUUAUAUCCUGGGCUACACACACGCUACAAUGGGAAGGGACAAUAGGUUGCGAAGCCGCGAGGCGGAGCCAAUCCAGCAAAACUUCCCUCAGUUCAGAUUGCAGGCUGCAACCCGCCUGCAUGAAGUUGGAGUUGCUAGUAAACGCAGGUCAGCCAUACUGCGUUGAAUACGUUCCCGGGGCUU